RNAcentral lists this transfer RNA (69 nucleotides) under Eumecichthys fiski. Its description in RNAcentral is "tRNA-Met". It matches the Rfam family "tRNA". Rfam says of the family: Transfer RNA (tRNA) molecules are approximately 80 nucleotides in length. Their secondary structure includes four short double-helical elements and three loops (D, anti-codon, and T loops). Lineage: Eukaryota; Metazoa; Chordata; Actinopteri; Lampriformes; Lophotidae. The record is from RNAcentral.
AGUAAGGUCAGCUAAAUAAGCUCUUGGGCCCAUACCCCAAAAAUGAUGGUUAGAAUCCCUCCUUUACUA